GGUCCAUUAGUGUAGCGGUUAUCACCCUGGUCUUUGAAUCCAGAAACCUGAGUUCGAAUCUCAGAUGGACCU
Molecule: non-coding RNA, 72 nt
Organism: Fimicolochytrium jonesii
Lineage: Eukaryota; Fungi; Chytridiomycota; Chytridiomycetes; Spizellomycetales; Powellomycetaceae
Source: the annotation of a RefSeq genome assembly